UGGGGAAUAUUGGACAAUGGAGGCAACUCUGAUCCAGCAAUUCUGUGUGUGUGAAGAAGGUUUUAGGACUGUAAAACACUUUUAGUAGGGAAGAAAGAAAUGACGGUACCUACAGAAGAAGCGACGGCUAAAUACGUGCCAGCAGCCGCGGUAAUACGUAUGGGGCGAGCGUAGUCCGGAAUUAUUGGGCGUAAAGGGUACGUAGGCGGUUUUUUAAGUCAGGUGUGAAAGCGUGAGGCUUAACCUCAUUAAGCACUUGAAACUGAUAGACUUGAGUGAAGGAGAGGAAAGUGGAAUUCCUAGUGUAGCGGUGAAAUGCGUAGAUAUUAGGAGGAAUACCGGUGGCGAAGGCGACUUUCUGGACUUUUACUGACGCUCAGGUACGAAAGCGUGGGGAGCAAACAGG
Molecule: ribosomal RNA, 406 nt
Filed under: Verrucomicrobiota bacterium
Lineage: Bacteria; Pseudomonadati; Verrucomicrobiota
Description: Verrucomicrobia bacterium partial 16S ribosomal RNA
Rfam family: Bacterial small subunit ribosomal RNA
Source: RNAcentral